Molecule: ribosomal RNA, 316 nt
Filed under: uncultured Bacillota bacterium
Lineage: Bacteria; Bacillati; Bacillota
Description: bacterial SSU rRNA
Rfam family: Bacterial small subunit ribosomal RNA
Source: RNAcentral
AGCCCCGGGCUCAACUCCCGGAUUGCAUUUGAAACUGGCUUACUAAAGUGGAAGAAAAGAAAGCGGAAUUCCUAAUGGAACGGUGAAAUGCGUAAAUAUUAAGAAGAACACCAGUGGCGAAAGCGGCUUUCUGGACUGGAACUGACGCUGAAGCACCAAAGCGUGGGGAGCGAACAGGAUUAAAUACCCUGGUAAUCCACGCCGUAAACGAUGAAUGCUAAGUGUCCGGGUCUUAUGAUCUCCGUGCUGAAGUCCACGCAUUAAGCACUCCCCCUGGGGAGUACGUUCGCAAGAAUGAAACUCAAGGAAUUGACGG